CAGCCGCCGCGGUAAUACGGAGGGGGCUAGCGUUGUUCGGAAUUACUGGGCGUAAAGCGCACGUAGGCGGCUUGGUAAGUUAGAGGUGGAAGCCCGGAGCUCAACUCCGGAAUUGCCUUUAAGACUGCCGAGCUAGCAGGUGAGAGAGGUAAGUGGAAUUCCGAGUGUAGAGGUGAAAUUCGUAGAUAUUCGGAAGAACACCAGUGGCGAAGGCGGCUUACUGGCUCAUACUGGACGCUGAGGUGCGAAAGCGUGGGGAGCAAACAGGAUUAGAUACCCCCGUAGUCCCUGUCUCUUAUAC
Molecule: ribosomal RNA, 301 nt
Filed under: uncultured bacterium
Lineage: Bacteria
Description: partial 16S ribosomal RNA
Rfam family: Bacterial small subunit ribosomal RNA
Source: RNAcentral